AUUGAACGCUGGCGGCAUGCCUUACACAUGCAAGUCGAACGGUAACAGGUCUUCGGAUGCUGACGAGUGGCGAACGGGUGAGUAAUACAUCGGAACGUGCCCAGACGUGGGGGAUAACGAGGCGAAAGCUUUGCUAAUACCGCAUACGAUCUAAGGAUGAAAGCAGGGGACCGCAAGGCCUUGUGCGUUUGGAGCGGCCGAUGGCGGAUUAGGUAGUUGGUGGGAUAAAAGCUUACCAAGCCGACGAUCUGUAGCUGGUCUGAGAGGACGACCAGCCACACUGGGACUGAGACACGGCCCAGACUCCUACGGGAGGCAGCAGUGGGGAAUUUUGGACAAUGGGCGAAAGCCUGAUCCAGCAAUGCCGCGUGCAGGAUGAAGGCCUUCGGGUUGUAAACUGCUUUUGUACGGAACGAAAAGGCUCUGGCUAAUACCUGGGGCACAUGACGGUACCGUAAGAAUAAGCACCGGCUAACUACGUG
This 482-nucleotide ribosomal RNA is filed under the name uncultured bacterium. RNAcentral describes it as "partial 16S ribosomal RNA". It matches the Rfam family "Bacterial small subunit ribosomal RNA", at positions 30 to 507 of the family's 1533-position model. The record is from RNAcentral.